This 453-nucleotide long non-coding RNA is filed under the name Vitis vinifera (wine grape). RNAcentral's name for it is "long non-coding RNA (VVIN_LNC003721)". Lineage: Eukaryota; Viridiplantae; Streptophyta; Magnoliopsida; Vitales; Vitaceae. The record is from RNAcentral.
CAAGUCUUUAACCGAUUCAAAGGUUAGAUUUGUUCCCGGCUUGAUCUUUGAUCUGACCUCUUCUCUCAGUUUGGCCUGUAACUCCGGUUUGCCGCUAAGAGCGCUGAGGAGAGAUGGGAAGAAGAUGGUGAAGCCACCGAAGGCGUUGAAGCCGAGGACGAAGAGGAGGUUGUGGAUGGUUUCUUCUUUGGAGAGGUUGAACUCGGUUUCGCCUCUUUGAAGCACGGCUUGGCCGUGUUGUUCGACGAAGUCGUAGAGUUUUCUGUAGUCUCCUUUGACGAGGAAGAAUGGGUAAGCGAAAGAGUGGAGGAAGAUCUCUUCGAGUGGUUGCAGGAAGUUGACGCUGAUGGUGGGGAGGAGCUGGAGGAAAACCCAUUUGUCGAGCAUGACGUAGCCAGACUCCGCAAUUUCCGGCGACACAGCGGGAUCCGCGCCAACAAGGCAUUUAGUUAG